RNAcentral lists this ribosomal RNA (331 nucleotides) under uncultured eukaryote. RNAcentral describes it as "partial 18S ribosomal RNA". It matches the Rfam family "Eukaryotic small subunit ribosomal RNA", at positions 1470 to 1796 of the family's 1831-position model. The record is from RNAcentral.
CCCUUAGAUGUUCUGGGCCGCACGCGCGCUACACUGACGAAGUCAGCGAGCAUGUCCUACGCCGACUGGUGCGGGGAAUCUUGUCAAACUUCGUCGUGAUGGGGAUUGAUUAUUGAAAUUCUUGAUCAUCAACGAGGAAUUCCUAGUAAGCGCAAGUCAGCAGCUUGCGUUGAUUACGUCCCUGCCCUUUGUACACACCGCCCGUCGCUACUACCGAUUGAAUGGUUUAGUGAGAUCUUCGGAUUGGCGCCACUGCGGCUCAGCAAUGGGCUCGGUGGAUGCCGAAAAGUUGAUCAAACUUGAUCAUUUAGAGGAAGUAAAAGUCGUAACA